RNAcentral lists this ribosomal RNA (442 nucleotides) under uncultured bacterium. Its description in RNAcentral is "partial 16S ribosomal RNA". It matches the Rfam family "Bacterial small subunit ribosomal RNA", at positions 338 to 795 of the family's 1533-position model. The record is from RNAcentral.
CCUACGGGGGGCUGCAGUGGGGAAUAUUGGACAAUGGGGGGAACCCUGAUCCAGCGACGCCGCGUGAGUGAAGAAGUAUUUCGGUAUGUAAAGCUCUAUCAGCAGGGAAGAAAGAAAUGACGGUACCUGACUAAGAAGCCCCGGCUAACUACGUGCCAGCAGCCGCGGUAAUACGUAGGGGGCAAGCGUUAUCCGGAUUUACUGGGUGUAAAGGGAGCGUAGACGGCGAUGCAAGUCUGAAGUGAAAGGCGGGGGCCCAACCUCUUCGAGCCGUUGAAACUGGUUUUCUUGAGUGAGCGAGAAGUAUGCGGAAUGCGUGGUGUAGCGGUGAAAUGCAUAGAUAUCACGCAGAACUCCGAUUGCGAAGGCAGCAUACCGGCGCUCAACUGACGCUCAUGCACGAAAGUGUGGGUAUCGAACAGGAUUAGAUACCCCAGUAGUC